UGGGGAAUCUUAGACAAUGGGCGAAAGCCUGAUCUAGCCAUGCCGCGUGAGUGACGAAGGCCUUAGGGUCGUAAAGCUCUUUCGCCGGGGAAGAUAAUGACGGUACCCGGUAAAGAAACCCCGGCUAACUCCGUGCCAGCAGCCGCGGUAAUACGGAGGGGGUUAGCGUUGUUCGGAAUUACUGGGCGUAAAGCGCACGUAGGCGGGCUGGACAGUCAGGGGUGAAAUCCCGGGGCUCAACCCCGGAACUGCCUCUGAUACUUCCAGCCUUGAGUCCGAGAGAGGUGAGUGGAAUUCCGAGUGUAGAGGUGAAAUUCGUAGAUAUUCGGAGGAACACCAGUGGCGAAGGCGGCUCACUGGCUCGGUACUGACGCUGAGGUGCGAAAGCGUGGGGAGCAAACAGGAUUAGAUACCCCCGUAGUCC
Molecule: ribosomal RNA, 424 nt
Filed under: uncultured prokaryote
Description: bacterial SSU rRNA
Rfam family: Bacterial small subunit ribosomal RNA
Source: RNAcentral